UUGCCCACUCAGAGCUGUCGUGCCCUGCAGUGUCAACACAGGGGGGCAGAGCACGUUCUCUCUAAAACACAGUGUGGAGCUCCCCCCUCCUCCCUGUAUCCUGUCGUGAGGCACAGCU
This is a small nucleolar RNA of Bufo bufo (common toad), 118 nucleotides long. RefSeq annotates it as small nucleolar RNA SNORA26. The record is from RefSeq and is a predicted model, not a curated record. The transcript has a single exon. Lineage: Eukaryota; Metazoa; Chordata; Amphibia; Anura; Bufonidae.